CACACACAGACAGAGAGACACCAGCACAGAGAGACACCAGCACAGAGAGACACCGGCACAGAGAGACACCAGCACAGACAGACACCAGCACAGACAGACACCAGCACAGAGAGACACCAGCACAGACAGACACCAGCACAGACAGACACCAGCACAGACAGACACCAGCACAGAGAGACACCGGCACAGACAGACACCAGCACAGAGAGACACCGGCACAGAGACACCAGCACAGAGAGACACCAGCACAGAGAGACACCAGCACGGAGAGACACCAGCACAGAGACCAGCACAGAGAGACCAGCACAGAGAGACAGCAGCACAGAGAGACACCAGCACAGAGAGACACCAGCACAGACAGACACCAGCACAGACACACA
This is a long non-coding RNA of Gadus macrocephalus (Pacific cod), 380 nucleotides long. RefSeq lists it as uncharacterized. NCBI's taxonomy places the organism in Eukaryota, Metazoa, Chordata, Actinopteri, Gadiformes, Gadidae. The transcript is spliced from 2 exons. The record is from RefSeq and is a predicted model, not a curated record.